This 467-nucleotide ribosomal RNA is filed under the name uncultured bacterium. RNAcentral describes it as "partial 16S ribosomal RNA". It matches the Rfam family "Bacterial small subunit ribosomal RNA", at positions 28 to 507 of the family's 1533-position model. The record is from RNAcentral.
GACGAACGCUGGCGGCGUGCUUAACACAUGCAAGUCGAACGGAAAGGCUCCAGCUUGCUGGAGUACUCGAGUGGCGAACGGGUGAGUAACACGUGGGUAAUCUGCCCUGCACUCUGGGAUAAGCCUGGGAAACUGGGUCUAAUACUGGAUAUGACCUUUCUCCUUAUGGGGUUUGGUGGAAAGUUUUUCGGUGUAGGAUGAGCCCGCGGCCUAUCAGCUUGUUGGUGGGGUGAUGGCCUACCAAGGCGACGACGGGUAGCCGGCCUGAGAGGGUGAUCGGCCACAUUGGGACUGAGAUACGGCCCAGACUCCUACGGGAGGCAGCAGUGGGGAAUAUUGCACAAUGGGGGGAAGCCUGAUGCAGCGACGCCGCGUGAGGGAUGACGGCCUUCGGGUUGUAAACCUCUUUCAGCAGGGACGAAGCGUAAGUGACGGUACCUGCAGAAGAAGCACCGGCUAACUAUGUG